Prunus avium (sweet cherry) is the source of this 2770-nucleotide non-coding RNA. The record is from RefSeq and is a predicted model, not a curated record. NCBI's taxonomy places the organism in Eukaryota, Viridiplantae, Streptophyta, Magnoliopsida, Rosales, Rosaceae.
AAUCUCAUCAAAAAUAAACUUUUGUUGAAAUUAGCCCAAAAUUGUGACCUGAACACUUUCCCAAGGCCCAUAUAAUUGUCGGGAGGACUCGGCAAAAACAAAGAAGCGUUGGAGUUGGUUCAGCCGCCAUAAAUUAACUGUUUUUCAAAAACUGAAAAGAAAAACAUCGAACUCAAACAUCGGAUCGAUUCCCUCAAGUUCAAGACAUGACAUCAUUCGUCCUACACGGCCUCCCCGAUGAUCUUCGUUCUACGGGUGGAUCAAUUUGGGUAUGUCAAAUGUGCCCAGUUGUUAUUCGAUCAAAUGCCAAGCCCAGAUUUUUAUUUGGGAGGAAAGUGAUGCUAAGGUGGUAUUGUGUGCACCACUUGUAUGACAAUAUGCGUCAGAGAGCAUGACAAUAAGUUCCAAGAGGCUCGGACUCAAUUACAAUACUUCAGUUAAGGGAGGAGGGUGCACUGCCGGAUUGUUCAGGUGGCGAGGCCUGAGAGCUUUUGUUGGCGAGGCCACAUUUUAUGGUGAGGGAGGGUGAUGCCUCUGGCACAACCACAAUGCUUUUUGGAGUUCGAAUUGAAGUUACUGUGCAACGGCAGCAAUCUAACAUGUUCCAUACUACCUUGCAAUGCAGCAAUGGAGAUGACCCCUGUUCUAAUUUGGCAGAACGGUAGGACACCAGACGUAUAUAGGAAAUAUUGGAGCGAACCAUCAAAAGGUCCUUCCAAGAAGAACUUGGAUCGAGAGCCUACUUAUAGUGCUUGAGACAUGCUUUCUGGUGAGGGGUUAAUUCUCAUAAAUACAAGAUUCACAUGUACGUUGUUUAAAAAAUAAAAACUUCUAAAAGUUCAAUUGGACUCCUUUCAAAUGCAGGGAUGAUGGAAAAUUUGCAAUAUGUGUAGUAAUGUAUAUUGUUUCGAAUAGGAGCAGUUUAUGUAUAAUACGUAAAUAUAAGACCUGUAGGAUGAGAACUAAAUACAUUUGAAAUGAAUCUGAAUAUACUUAUGCUGAGAUUUGAUGCCUUUGACGUCUUUUUUUACGACAUUUUUUCAAUUGUUCUACAUGAGAGAAAGAUGCGAAGAAAUGGAACAGAGAGAUCUUUGUUGUUUCUGCAUUUGACUGAUGUAAAUAGUCAUGUUUAUUCGGAUUGUUUGGUUGAAGUUGAGCAAUACCGAAGUUUCAUUUAAAAAAAGAAAACCUAAGACCACAGCUACAUCUAAAAGUAUUCUAUUACUCCCUCUUUCUUCGUAACAAUAUGAAUGUGUAAAUCAGAUAAGUAGGUCAACAUACAUGGGCUGAUUGUUUGAGGAAAAACUGAAUUGUAGAAAGAAAGAAAAUAGCACAAUUUGUUUUUUCAUAGCGAAUUAUUCCUGUGUUAGAGAAAUAAUAGGAAAUAAAGCGGUUUUAUUUUUUUGGUUUUCUUGAAGAAGUUAUUCUUUUGUUUUUUCUUUGUUCCUUUGCUUUACCAUCAUUAUUGAGGAUUCAGAUGAAGGCGAUGCUGUAGAGGAUUCCAUUCCCUUGGAUAAUGGCGUGCCCAUUGACUUUGGCGCUAUUGAGGUUGUCCAGUGCCUCAUGGCACAUCACAAUGCUUUUUUCACAGAUGCCUACGAAACGAUCUGUAGAUGACACACAUUGCUUGUUUCCUCAUACAGCAUGGGACUAAUUGAGUUGGACAGUCCAACUGAUAAUGUUUCCAGAAUGAAAUCAGAUCUGGUUGAGAUGACGAUUACACAUUAGAAGAUGUUAUGACCUUUUCCAAUCCUUUUGAUUUGGGCUCAUUUGUUGUCCUUGAAAACCCUAAUGUGUAUUUUCCUACUAAUCUCGUGUUUAGCUCCACCUAGAUAUUUAUCACAUUUGUUGUUAAAAUUCCGUUCCCUCGAAUUAGUUUUUUGUUUGAUGCAUUGAAACUGUUGCUGUGGGGAAGCUUUCAUUGAGUCUCACUUGUUUUAGCAAAGAAAGUGUACCUGUGUUUGGCACUCAGCUUUACCUUGCUAUCAAGAAUCUUUUACCAUUCUCACAUUUUAUAUCCAUAACAAUGGAUUUUCUCAACACUGCUUCUCCUGCACCAAGAAAGGAGUAUGAGACAAACACAGGCUGACAACUGGAGCUCUGCAGCUGGCUGAGGGUUCACACUUGAUCUUUGCUGAGACCUAGUUGGAAGCUGGGACUCUCAACUCUGUCGGGGUUGAAAAUGCAAGAGUGCUAAAAACUCUAAUGGAGUUGCAAAAGAAGGUAAAUCAAACAUUUUGCAUGUUGCUGUAGUGUUAAGUUCCCACCCUUGUUCAAUUGGUUCCUCUGAAGUUGCUGCAGAAGCACUAGAGGUUUGGUGAUGGUACUUGGCUACUCUUAGAUCAUUGCCGCAUUCUAUUGAGUCAGAAAUGCAGAAGGUAAGAGUUAGCUUGACAUCAACAAUUAACCUCUUAAACUGAGUAGAACUGUCAUGGUCUGAUACCUUACAGGUGAUACAACAUGACUUGGUUGCUGCAAGGCAAGAAGACAGGAAACUGCGCCACUGCAGGCCAACUAUUAUGCAAAUCCCAAACACUACAACCCUGUUUUCCGUGAAAUAAAUUGCCCCUUAUGCAUCUGUAAUUGGUAUGCUUUACACGCUGCUAUCAACUUUUUCAGGCAAAACAGUAGGGUUAAUGACAUUUACUGAGUGUUUUACUUGGAAUAUAAAUUAAGAAGGAUUCUGGAAAUAUUACGGUUAUCCAUUUCAUCUUUUCGUAAUGAUAAUUUUAUUUUUCACAAAUUUUCGGCUGGCAGUGAAUUGCAUGUA